RNAcentral lists this ribosomal RNA (373 nucleotides) under uncultured bacterium. RNAcentral's name for it is "bacterial SSU rRNA". It matches the Rfam family "Bacterial small subunit ribosomal RNA", at positions 137 to 507 of the family's 1533-position model. The record is from RNAcentral.
GGUGGGAUACGUAGCGAAAGUUACGCUAAUACCGCAUACGAUCUACGGAUGAAAGCGGGGAUCGCAAGACCUCGCGCGAAUGGAGCGGCCGAUGUCAGAUUAGGUAGUUGGUGGGGUAAAGGCUCACCAAGCCAACGAUCUGUAGCUGGUCUGAGAGGACGACCAGCCACACUGGAACUGAGACACGGUCCAGACUCCUACGGGAGGCAGCAGUGGGGAAUUUUGGACAAUGGGCGCAAGCCUGAUCCAGCCAUUCCGCGUGCAGGAUGAAGGCCUUCGGGUUGUAAACUGCUUUUGUACGGAACGAAAAGGUCCUGGUUAAUACCUGGGGCUCAUGACGGUACCGUAAGAAUAAGCACCGGCUAACUACGUG